GACGAACGCUGGCGGCGUGCUUAACACAUGCAAGUCGAACGCGCCUGUCCUCUGGGUUUCUGGGGGGUGGGUGAGUGGCGAACGGGUGAGUAACACGUGAGUAACCUGCCCCCUUCUUCGGGAUAACGGUCUGAAAGGGCUGCUAAUACCGGGUAUUCACUGGUCUCCGCAUGGGGUCUGGUGGAAAGGUUUUUUUCUGGUGGGGGAUGGGCUCGCGGCCUAUCAGCUUGUUGGUGGGGUGAUGGCCCACCAAGGCUUUGACGGGUAGCCGGCCUGAGAGGGUGACCGGUAACAUUGGGACUGAGAUACGGCCCAGACUCCUACGGGAGGCAGCAGUGGGGAAUAUUGCACAAUGGGCGCAAGCAUGAUGCAGCGACGCCGCGUGAGGGAUGGAGGCCUUCGGGUUGUGAACCUCUUUCGCCCGUGGUCAAGCCGCGACGUGGGUCGUGGUGAGGGUAGUGGGUAAAGAAGCGCCGGCUAACUACGUG
Molecule: ribosomal RNA, 488 nt
Filed under: uncultured bacterium
Lineage: Bacteria
Description: partial 16S ribosomal RNA
Rfam family: Bacterial small subunit ribosomal RNA
Source: RNAcentral